GCCAGGUGCAGUGGUGUGCACCUGUAGUCCCAGUUACUUGGGAGGCUGAGGCAGGGGAAUCACUUGAGCCCAGAGGUUUGGGGUUACAGUGAGUGCCACUGCACCCCAGCCUGGGUGACAGAGUGAGACUCUCUCUUU
Unclassified non-coding RNA from Papio anubis (olive baboon), 138 nucleotides. It matches the Rfam family "Metazoan signal recognition particle RNA". From Rfam's summary of the family: The signal recognition particle (SRP) is a universally conserved ribonucleoprotein. It is involved in the co-translational targeting of proteins to membranes. The record is from Ensembl. Lineage: Eukaryota; Metazoa; Chordata; Mammalia; Primates; Cercopithecidae.